This 87-nucleotide transfer RNA is filed under the name Fervidobacterium sp. Its description in RNAcentral is "tRNA-Leu". It matches the Rfam family "tRNA". Rfam says of the family: Transfer RNA (tRNA) molecules are approximately 80 nucleotides in length. Their secondary structure includes four short double-helical elements and three loops (D, anti-codon, and T loops). Lineage: Bacteria; Thermotogati; Thermotogota; Thermotogae; Thermotogales; Fervidobacteriaceae. The record is from RNAcentral.
GCCGAGGUGGCGGAAUUGGCAGACGCACAUGGUUGAGGGCCAUGCGGUCGUUGGACCAUGCGGGUUCAAGUCCCGCCCUCGGCACCA